ACUUGCUUGCUUUUCUUUCAAACCUCUUUCAUUCUCAGUCACCUCAGCCAGAAAUUUCCUGCUUCAGAACUGAAGAACAUUGUGUGAUCUUCUGGAUAUUGGAAGAGAUCCGCUGGGCCAGGAGGGCAGGGUCACCACCGACACCGGAGUGUAAGACAUAGCUGAGGCGCUUAUUCACGAAUUUCAUCAGAUGUCACCUAAGCAAUCGCCCCAACCUCCUCGGCUUCCUCCUCCUCCGCCGGCCCCGGCACCCCAGAAACAGACUUUUAAAAGCCAUUCAACUAUCAUCUAUCUACUCAGCCCUUUUUGCUUAAGGUGACCAGGUGGUUUUACCUUGGACCUCCAGCAAGAACUACAAAGAAGAAAGGAGUCUGAAGAGUCAGUCAAGUUUUCUGUCUAGUCCAAGUAACACCCCUGU
Molecule: long non-coding RNA, 418 nt
Filed under: Suricata suricatta (meerkat)
Lineage: Eukaryota; Metazoa; Chordata; Mammalia; Carnivora; Herpestidae
Description: lncRNA (ENSSSUG00005022885.1)
Source: RNAcentral